AGGAAAAUAGUUUAAUAAAAAUAUAGGCUUUGGGAGCUUAUGACGCUAUUAAUUAAUAGCUUUUCCUA
Molecule: transfer RNA, 68 nt
Filed under: Amphiura sinicola
Lineage: Eukaryota; Metazoa; Echinodermata; Ophiuroidea; Amphilepidida; Amphiuridae
Description: tRNA-Pro
Rfam family: tRNA
About the family: Transfer RNA (tRNA) molecules are approximately 80 nucleotides in length.
Source: RNAcentral